GAUGAACGCUGGCGGCGUGCCUAAUACAUGCAAGUCGAGCGAACAGAUAAGGAGCUUGCUCCUUUGAAGUUAGCGGCGGACGGGUGAGUAACACGUGGGUAACCUACCUAUAAGACUGGGAUAACUUCGGGAAACCGGAGCUAAUACCGGAUAACAUUUAGAACCGCAUGGUUCUAAAGUGAAAGAUGGUUUUGCUAUCACUUAUAGAUGGACCCGCGCCGUAUUAGCUAGUUGGUAAGGUAACGGCUUACCAAGGCGACGAUACGUAGCCGACCUGAGAGGGUGAUCGGCCACACUGGAACUGAGCCACGGUCCAGACUCCUACGGGAGGCAGCAGUAGGGAAUCUUCCGCAAUGGGCGAAAGCCUGACGGAGCAACGCCGCGUGAGUGAUGAAGGGUUUCGGCUCGUAAAACUCUGUUAUUAGGGAAGAACAAAUGUGUAAGUAACUGUGCACAUCUUGACGGUACCUAAUCAGAAAGCCACGGCUAACUACGUG
This 497-nucleotide ribosomal RNA is filed under the name uncultured bacterium. Its description in RNAcentral is "partial 16S ribosomal RNA". It matches the Rfam family "Bacterial small subunit ribosomal RNA", at positions 28 to 507 of the family's 1533-position model. The record is from RNAcentral.